This 345-nucleotide long non-coding RNA is filed under the name Zostera marina. Its description in RNAcentral is "long non-coding RNA (ZMAR_LNC004520)". The record is from RNAcentral. Lineage: Eukaryota; Viridiplantae; Streptophyta; Magnoliopsida; Alismatales; Zosteraceae.
UCCUCUACAGAUUUAGGCCCACCUUACCGAUUUUAUUUGCCCAGAUGCCUCUUGCGAGCGCAUCCGUCAUGGCCUGCGGUCUGAGUGUCUCUGCUUUCACCCCUUUAAUCGAGCAUGUUGUUCCUUUGCCAAUCCAUGUCCUUGCAUAGUUAGAGCCAAGAUCAGCACACAUUGCAAUUUUAUCUCUUUGCUGCAAUGUAGCUUUCCAUCCCGCCGAAUCUCCCUGUUUUUUGGCAAUUUGACUUAGGGGUCGGUUCUUGAUGUAUCUAGCACACAUCCAUUGGCUCCAGAUUCCAUUUCUUUCCCACAUUCUGCAGACUCUGCUGAGUUUCUUUAUAAUCACGG